ACUGGAGUUGCUUCAGAUCUGUCCAGAAGAGAAGAUGAACAGAGGAAUUCAUAGCUAAAGAAAUCUGGGGAUGAAUAUGGAUUGCAGACUGCUGUGCUAUAUUGGCAGAGAAUAAUCAUGGAGGCUCCUUAAAUCAGAAUUCUAUGCAGCGUGAUACAUACAAAUAUUUUGGAGAUAAACGAUGAUGCAGAUAUACUUCUCCUGGGAUCCAAGCCAGCUCUGCACAGUGCUGCACUGUAUGAGCCUCCCGCUCCAAGACAACAGAAAUAUCAAUACAGUGUAUUAUC
This 287-nucleotide long non-coding RNA is filed under the name Dromaius novaehollandiae (emu). RNAcentral describes it as "lncRNA (ENSDNVG00000007847.1)". Lineage: Eukaryota; Metazoa; Chordata; Aves; Casuariiformes; Dromaiidae. The record is from RNAcentral.